This 21-nucleotide non-coding RNA is filed under the name Rattus norvegicus (Norway rat). Lineage: Eukaryota; Metazoa; Chordata; Mammalia; Rodentia; Muridae. The record is from RNAcentral.
UUCAGCAACAUUGGUGAAAGA